AACGAACGCUGGCGGCGUGGAUAAGACAUGCAAGUCGAACGAGAGAAUUGCUAGCUUGCUAAUAAUUCUCUAGUGGCGCACGGGUGAGUAACACGUGAGUAACCUGCCCCCGAGAGCGGGAUAGCCCUGGGAAACUGGGAUUAAUACCGCAUAGUAUCGAAAGAUUAAAGCAGCAAUGCGCUUGGGGAUGGGCUCGCGGCCUAUUAGUUAGUUGGUGAGGUAACGGCUCACCAAGGCGAUGACGGGUAGCCGGUCUGAGAGGAUGUCCGGCCACACUGGAACUGAGACACGGUCCAGACACCUACGGGUGGCAGCAGUCGAGAAUCAUUCACAAUGGGGGAAACCCUGAUGGUGCGACGCCGCGUGGGGGAAUGAAGGUCUUCGGAUUGUAAACCCCUGUCAUGUGGGAGCAAAUUAAAAAGAUAGUACCACAAGAGGAAGAGACGGCUAACUCUGUGCCAGCAGCCGCGGUAAUACAGAGGUCUCAAGCGUUGUUCGGAAUCACUGGGCGUAAAGCGUGCGUAGGCUGUUUCGUAAGUUGUGUGUGAAAGGCGCGGGCUCAACCCGCGGACGGCACAUGAUACUGCGAGACUAGAGUAAUGGAGGGGGAACCGGAAUUCUCGGUGUAGCAGUGAAAUGCGUAGAUAUCGAGAGGAACACUCGUGGCGAAGGCGGGUUCCUGGACAUUAACUGACGCUGAGGCACGAAGGCCAGGGGAGCGAAAGAGAUUAGAUACCCCUGUAGUCCCGGCAGUAAACGG
RNAcentral lists this ribosomal RNA (760 nucleotides) under uncultured bacterium. RNAcentral describes it as "bacterial SSU rRNA". It matches the Rfam family "Bacterial small subunit ribosomal RNA", at positions 28 to 809 of the family's 1533-position model. The record is from RNAcentral.